RNAcentral lists this ribosomal RNA (507 nucleotides) under uncultured bacterium. RNAcentral describes it as "partial 16S ribosomal RNA". It matches the Rfam family "Bacterial small subunit ribosomal RNA", at positions 28 to 507 of the family's 1533-position model. The record is from RNAcentral.
GACGAACGCUGGCGGCGUGCCUAAUACAUGCAAGUCGAACGCAUUUUCUUUCACCGUAGCUUGCUACACCGAAAGAAAAUGAGUGGCGAACGGGUGAGUAACACGUGGGUAACCUGCCCAUCAGCGGGGGAUAACACUUGGAAACAGGUGCUAAUACCGCAUAAUUCCAUUUACCGCAUGGUAAAUGGAUGAAAGGCGCUUUUGCGUCACUGAUGGAUGGACCCGCGGUGCAUUAGCUAGUUGGUGGGGUAACGGCCUACCAAGGCUGCGAUGCAUAGCCGACCUGAGAGGGUGAUCGGCCACACUGGGACUGAGACACGGCCCAGACUCCUACGGGAGGCAGCAGUAGGGAAUCUUCGGCAAUGGACGCAAGUCUGACCGAGCAACGCCGCGUGAUUGAAGAAGGUUGUCGGAUCGUAAAACUCUGUUGUUAGAGAAGAACAAGGAUGAGAGUGGAAAGUUCAUCCCUUGACGGUAGCUAACCAGAAAGCCACGGCUAACUACGUG